GAUGAACGCUAGCUACAGGCUUAACACAUGCAAGUCGAGGGGAAACGAUAUUGGAAGCUUGCUUCUGAUAGGCGUCGACCGGCGCACGGGUGAGUAACGCGUAUCCAACCUGCCCAUCACUUGGGGAUAACCUUGCGAAAGUAAGACUAAUACCCAAUGACGUCUCUAGAAGACAUCUGAAAGAGAUUAAAGAUUUAUCGGUGAUGGAUGGGGAUGCGUCUGAUUAGCUUGUUGGCGGGGUAACGGCCCACCAAGGCGACGAUCAGUAGGGGUUCUGAGAGGAAGGUCCCCCACAUUGGAACUGAGACACGGUCCAAACUCCUACGGGAGGCAGCAGUGAGGAAUAUUGGUCAAUGGACGAGAGUCUGAACCAGCCAAGUAGCGUGCAGGAUGACGGCCCUAUGGGUUGUAAACUGCUCUUAUAAGGGAAUAAAGUGGGAGUCGUGACUCUUUUUGCAUGUACCUUAUGAAUAAGGACCGGCUAAAUUCCGUGCCAG
RNAcentral lists this ribosomal RNA (497 nucleotides) under uncultured bacterium. Its description in RNAcentral is "bacterial SSU rRNA". It matches the Rfam family "Bacterial small subunit ribosomal RNA", at positions 28 to 511 of the family's 1533-position model. The record is from RNAcentral.